RNAcentral lists this unclassified non-coding RNA (377 nucleotides) under plant metagenome. RNAcentral's name for it is "partial contains 5.8S ribosomal RNA, internal transcribed spacer 2, and large subunit ribosomal RNA". The stretch from base 1 to 105 matches the Rfam family "5.8S ribosomal RNA", at positions 50 to 154 of the family's 154-position model. The record is from RNAcentral.
GAAAUGCGAUAAGUAAUGUGAAUUGCAGAAUUCAGUGAAUCAUCGAAUCUUUGAACGCACCUUGCGCUCCUUGGUAUUCCUUGGAGCAUGCCUGUUUGAGUAUCAUGAAAUCUUCAAAGUAAAUCUUUUGUUAACUCAAUUGGUUUCUACUUUGGUAUUGGAGGUCUUGCAGCUUCACACCUGCUCCUCUUUGUUCAUUAGCUGGAUCUCAGUGUUAUGCUUGGUUCCACUCGGCGUGAUAAGUUAUCUAUCGCUGAGGACACUGUAAAAGGUGGCCAAGGUAAAUGCAGAUGAACCGCUUCUAAUAGUCCAUUGACUUGGACAAUACUUUUAUGAUCUGAUCUCAAAUCAGGUAGGACUACCCGCUGAACUUAAGC